UUUCCUAAUAUUUUGUUGAGAAUUUUUGCAUCUAUGUUCAUCCGGGAUAUUGGCCUGUAGUUCUCCUUUAUAGGGGUAUCUUUAUCUGGUUCUGGUAUCGGGGUAAUAUUGGCCUCAUAGAAGGAAUCUGGAAGUUUGCCUUCCUUUUCUAUUUUUUGGAAUAGUUUGAGAAGAAUAUGCAUUAAAUCUCCUUU
This is a long non-coding RNA of Herpailurus yagouaroundi (jaguarundi), 194 nucleotides long. RefSeq lists it as uncharacterized. The transcript has 3 exons. The record is from RefSeq and is a predicted model, not a curated record. NCBI's taxonomy places the organism in Eukaryota, Metazoa, Chordata, Mammalia, Carnivora, Felidae.